Molecule: long non-coding RNA, 6504 nt
Filed under: Homo sapiens (human)
Lineage: Eukaryota; Metazoa; Chordata; Mammalia; Primates; Hominidae
Description: HSALNT0336596
Source: RNAcentral
ACUUGAAUCAAGCUACUCCCAGCUUCUGCACACAUCUGGUCCAACACUACUUUGGGAUAUGUUUUGCUAAGGUUGCUGUUCUGCCUGGAAGGCCCUCAUUCCUCAGCUGCAUGACCCGAGGUUUCCUUCCUCUAAGACCUUGCUAGCGGCUCCUAGAUGCCUUCCAAACCAAAUUCUCUUCUAUGAGAUCAGCUCUUAGCUUUGUAUUCCCUGGCACUUAUGGAGUAUGUUAUGGAGAAAGACUGUCUAGUUGAAGGAAAACAAGCUCUGGGCUCCCACUGAUUCUACGUUAUGGGAUGCUACUUGCUUCUAACAUCAUGUUAAUCAGCAAUGUAAGCUCUGGCAUAGCUUACCAACCCUAAGAGUGGCAGGGAGUUGCUCUGUGUAAUGGUGGAGUACUCAGCUGUCUUCUCCAUGGUGGUUGAGUUCUCUGGAUGGGAUCAGCUUUCUUCACAUGUCACUGAAGUGAAAGGGGACAAUUGAAACCUAUUUUGACAGGUUUAAAAGCUAAAGCCAAGCCAGGAAGAGGAAGACAAGAUGAGAAACCCCAAAUCAAGGUAAGAGAAGAAAAUAAGUGCAACAUGCCAGAAAUCCAGUAAAGCAGUUCAAGUAUCAGAAGAGCGUGAAUCAAAACCAAGUGCAAGAAGAGGCACCUUGACAUUGAACUGAAGGCCACCAGGUACUCACUGGGUCAAUGACUCUUCUCAUUUUUAUUCUCCUGCCAGUGCUUCCAAUCGCUGAACUGAACUGGGAACAAAUCAACAAGGGAAACCAAGAGAUGCAUUCCUUGAAGUUCAGCCUCCAGGCCUCAAGUAAGGCAGAGGAAGAGAAUACAUAGAUCUGUGGAGAAGAGUGGUGAUGGUGGGAGCUGCCAAUAAAGAACUAUCAAAAAAGGAUGAUGCAACAGAAAAGCCGUCACCAGAUACCAGCACCUUAAUGUUGGACUUCUCAGCCUCCAGAACUGUAAGAAAUAAAUCCCUGUUCUUUAUAAAUUACCCAGUCUCAGGUAUCCUGCUAUAGCAGCACAAAAUGGACUAUGAUAGAAAAUUGGUAUGAAGGAGUAGUACCAUUGUUAUAACAAAUACCUAAAAAUGGAAGCCACUCUGGAACUGGGUAAGGGGUAGAGUAUGGAAGAAUUUAGAGGAGCAGGCUAGAAAAAGCCUAAAUUGCUGUGUAUUACUCCAGGAUGGUAAGAAAUAAAUCUCUGUUCUUUAUAAAUUGCCCAGACUCACAGCACAAAACAAAUUAAGACAUUAAGAUUUGCCCCAUUCUUAGAAUUCAUUUCUUCCAUUUUCCCUUUAAUUAAAUCAAUGCCAGCAUCUAAGCAGUGUGCACCUUUUGACCAUAGUCUUUCUAAUUGACCAGAAGCUUAGAUGUGGAAAAUGCAAAAACUAUGCACAUUUCUGAUGGGUUUAACUUCUGAGAAAUUUUUACAAGGUUUUCCUUAUUUUAUCUGCUCCAGUAAACCUGUGGUUUCAUGAACAGGCCUAGAAUUUGAGAUUCAGCUUCUAAACUUCAAAGGUGACCUUUCAACCCAUUUGUUUAUAGACUCGGUAUUAACCUUUUGAGUUCUAGAAUAGGGUUUUAGAACUUACUUUCAUAAAAGUUUAUAUAGUCAAUUCCAUUCAUUUAUGCUAAGGACAUAGAAUAUUUCUAGAUUGCACAAUAUGUUUCUGUGGGAAUUGAAUGGAAAUCCAGGUUUCCUGACAAGAAACAAAGGAUCUUUGGGAGGCCGAGACAGGCGGAUCACGAGGUCAGGAGAUCGAGACCAUCCUGGCUAACACGGUGAAACCCCGUCUCUACUAAAAAUACAAAACUUAGCCGGGCAUGGUGGCGUGCGCCUGUAGUCCCAGCUACACGGGAGGCUGAGGCAGGAGAAUGGUGUGAACCCGGGAGGCGGAGCUUGCAGUGAGUCGAGAUCACGCCACUGCACUCCAGCCUGGGUGACAGAGCGAGACUCCGUCUCAAAAAAAAAAAAAGAAAAAAAAGAAACAAAGGAUCUCUUAGUCUCUCUUGAUCCCAGUCACUUCUGAAGAAAAAAAAUUAUUUACCUGAAGUCCAUUGCUUCCUUGUGGGAUUCUUUUUUUUUAAAUGCUGGAUUGUGGAUUAAAUAAAAAGAUCUGAGAAAUAGGUCAGAAAUUAAAUCCUGGUGUUGUCAUGGUGUUUUUUAAAUAGCACCCUUGAAAUUGGUUGCAGAACAUACAUUUUAUCUGAUUCUAAUUAUGUGGAAUUUCGAAGUCAUUUUGGUAACAGAACUACUCUAACCUGUUAUUAAACUCAGGAUUUUUUUAAGAAAUAAAAAUUGCUUGGUAAGAAUGUUAACGUUUAAAAAACUAUUAAUGAAUCAGACCAACAAAGCCUACUCAAAUGAAUCUGUAUCUUUAUUCAUGGUUCAAGCAUUACUUCCACUUAACUAAAAAUGAAUAUAUCCUCUGGAACUUAAAAUAAAGGUUGAAAAAAAAUGAAUGCAUAUUUAAUCUUUUAUGGUUACAGAUAUAAUAGAAAAAUUGUUUCUGCCUCAAAACCCUACUUUUAAAUAAUUAAUGAAAUAUAGACAAUAAUGUCUCUAAAAUUGCAUUUCCCAGGGAUAUAUCUAUUUAACUCCUGAUUCUUUUGUUAACAUCACCAAUACAUGGGAAAAGAAACUGAAGCUUUUUAAAUUACAUGCUAAUAUAUGGCCAUCAAUUUUAAGGGAUUUUGAAAAGUCCGCAAUAGUAAAAAUAGAGUAGGAAAAAUUAUAGUGAAGAAAUAAAAUAAAAUAAAUUAGCUAAACAAUUAGGCUCUAUUUAUUUGAAGGAAGUAUUUAGAAGUAUGUGCUGAUUCUUAUGUUCUCAUACUUCAAGAUGAGAUCAUGUUGGCAUGCACUAUUAGGGCCCUCACUCUUGUCCAUAUUGUUUUGGCAAGCUUUAAGCAGGUGGCUCUGUAAUAUGGUAAUACCUUCUCUUUGGAUAACUCUUCAUUUCAAAGCAAUCUGUAGACAUUACACCUUUAAUUACAGGAGACCUCAAGGCACAAAGCAAAAGAAGAAUGAAUUUCAUCAUGGGAAUAUACAAAGCAAGGCAUUAACAUCUAUAGUUAAAUAAGUCAGCAUCAAACUUCUUGCUGUACCACCCACCAUUUCACACAGUUCAGCUAGCUGACUCGUUCAUACUUUAAGGCUAAUCAGAAUAAAUUAAUGAUUCAUCACUAAUAAAGAUGCAGAGUGUGUACCUUUAUUCUUCAGUAGGGUAACGUGACCCUUCUGAGUACUUCUGGAGCAAAUGUGUAUGAAGUGCUAGGUUUUUUGUCACUAAGUCUAUGUACUCAGAAAAGACACAAAUUUUCAGUAUUCUGGUUUACCACUUGCCAGGCAAAGGAAACUGUAAAUAAAUGUUUCACCACAUAUUUAUGUGAAAAAAAUUAAUUGGUGGAUGGGCUUUGUUGUGAUUCUUAAUAAUAAUGAAUCAUAGUUUUACACAUAUAGUAGGAUGAAGCAUUUGAGAUUUGAUUCUAGCAUUUCUGUCUAUGUGUUUAUAAUUUAUCCAAUGGAAGUAUUAAAAGAAAAGCUUUUUGGGAGGCCUUAUUUGAGUUCAGAAGUCUCACACGCACUUCUGUCAAGUGAUGUAAUAGGAAUGUGUUUAAGAUCAGCAGAUGAUAUAUUGAGUGUAAACAUAAUGUGCUCAUGAUGAAAGCCAAAACACUAAUUUAAUUGAUUGGAAGAAAACAGAAAUUCACCAGGAGUCAAAAUCCCAAAUAAGAGGUCCGUGUUUUCAAGGCUUAUUUUAAUAGUAUUAACUACUUCAACAAAUUAUUUUUCUUUGCUUUUUUCCAUUCACUUAAAAAUAUUUAAUGGUUUUAUUGAACUAUAUUUUACAUAUAAAAUUCGCCCGUUGAAAAUAUGCAACUUGAUGAUUUUUAGUAAAAUUUAGAAUUGUGCAAAUAUGAUAGAUUCCAUUUUAGAUAAUUUCUGUCAUUCUAAAAAGAUCUUUAAUGUCCAUUUUUAGUGAAAUCUGCUCCCACCCCCAGUCCCAGCAAACACUGAUAAAAUUUUCAUCUACUUAUUUUUGCUUUUCCUAGAAAUUUCAUAUAAAAAGUGUGGUUUGCAAAAUAAAAUCCCCUGCACUUGUGAAUGUUAUAUCACAUUGGAAAGGGGACUUCGCCAACGUAAAUUGCGUACAAAUGCGGAGAUUAUCCAGGACUAUCUGGAUGGGCCCAAUGUAAUCAAUUCAGCCCUUAAAAGCACAGAAACUUUCUCAGCUGGGUCAGAGAGAUACAAUAAUGGAAGAAGAGUCAGAGAGAUGCAAUGCAAGAAAGACUCAGUCUGCCAUUGAUGGCUUUGAAGUUAGAGGAAGGGAGCCAUGAGUCAAGAAAUGGAGGGGACCUCUAGAAGGGAACAGUCAGAGAAAUAGAUUACCCUCUAGAGCCUCCAGAAAGAGACACGGCCCUGUCAAUUUAGCUUAGUGAGACCCAUGUCAGGCUUAUGGCCUCCAAAAUGAUAAGAUAAUACAUUUGUAUUGUUUUAUGUCAUUAAGUUUGUAGGAAUUAUUAUGGUAGCAAUAUAAAACUCAUAGAAAUGACUUCUUUCAUUUUGUAUUAUUUUGAGAUGCAUUCAUUUUGUUGCAUGGAUCAUUCUAUUUUAUUGCUGAGUAUCAUUCUAUUGUAUUGACACCAAACUUUGUUUUUCCAAUCACCUGUUGGUGGGCAUUUGGGUCGUUUCCAGUUUUUGGCUAUUGUAAGUGAUGAUUUUAUAAACAUUUAUGUACAAAUCUUUUUGUGGAUAUCUAAAUAUAUGAUUCUGUUUCUCUUGGAUAAAUACCUAAGAUUAGAAUUGCUGAGUCAUAUGGUAAAGGGAUACUUAACUUUUAAAACCUCCCAAACUGUUCUUCAAAAUGGUUGUGCCAUUUUACAUCCCCACCAAUAAUGUAUAAAGGUUCCAGUUUCUCGAAAUAUUUGCCAACACUUGGUAUGGUCAGUCUUUUUGAUUCUAGUCAUUCUAGUGGGUAUAUAAUGAUAUCUCAUUGUAAUUUUAAUUUGCAUUAUCCUAAUGACUGAUGAUGUUGAGCAUGUCUUCAUUUGGUGUUUUUAUUAUUAUUUUUAGCCAUACAUAUAUCUUCUUUAGUGAAAUGCCUAUUGAAAUAUUUUUCCCAUUUUCUUGUUGAGUUAUUUGUCACCUUAUUACUGAGCUUCAAAAGUUCUUUAUGUAUUCUGUUCAAUAGCCAGAUGACCUCACCUUCUAGCAUUCACACCCUUGAGUAGUGCCUUCCUCAUUGCUCCAGGAUUGGUCUGACCAACAGAACCAAACAACAUAUGGCAGAAAUGGUGGUAUAUCACUUCCAAGGUUAGGUUAUAAGAGACUGUGUUUUCCAUCUCAGCUUCUUUUUCUCCCCUGCCAAACCCCUUUGCAUCAUUCAUUCUGGAGAAUCCAGCUGCCGUGUCUUGAGGACAAUCAGAUGGCCUAUAAAGGGCCCCUGGGACAAGGAACUGAGGUAUUUUUCCAACAGCCAACAAGGAACCGAGGCCUGCCAACAACCGUAUGAGUGAGCACGGAAUUGUCUAGCUCCAGAUGACUGUGGCUUUGGCCAACAGCUUGUCUUGAGACACCCUGAGCCAGCACCACUCAGCUAAGCCACUUCCAGAUUCCUGCCCCUCAAAACUGUAUGGCUUGUUGUUUUGAGAUGCUAAGUAUUAAGAGUAAUUCAGCAAUAGAUGACAACUAUAUUCUGGAUACAAGUGUUUAUUAUAUGUAUGAUUUGCAAAUAUAUUUCUCACUUUGUGGUUUGUCUUUCCAUUUUUGAAAUGGGAUCUUUCGAAUACCAUCAGUUUUCAAUUUCGAUGAAGUCAAAUUCGCCAAUUUUUAUUUUGUGAAUCAGGCUUUCAGAAUCAUGUCUAAGAAAUUCUUGCCUAAGGACACACAUUGUUUAUCGGAUGUCUUCUUCUAAAAUGUGGAUAGUUUUAAUUUUUCUACUUAUGUCUCAGAUCCAUGUUUAUUUAAAUUUGUAUAUGAUGUAAAGUAAGCAUCUGAGAUUUUUUGUUUUGGUUUGGUUUGGUUUUUGUUUUGCAUAUAGCAAUCCAUUUGUUCUAACACCACUUGUGGUAAAGAUUAUUGUUUUCCUCUUGAAUUGCCUAGGCAUCUUUGUUAAAAAUCAAUUUACUGUAAAUGUGUGGGUUUUUUACUGGGUUCUUCAUCCAGUUUUAUUGAUCUACAUAUCUAUUAUUAUACUGAUGUCAUACUGCAUUGAUUACUGUAACUUUGUAUUAAAAUUUGAAAUUGCACAGGUCCUCCAACUUCAUGCUUCUUUUUCAAAACGUAAAUUGGAAUCAUGGCUAUUUGUUAUUAACAAACUCUUCUUUCAACAGCAUAAUAAUAUUUUUGAAAUGAAUAAAACAGAUGAAUCAGUUUUGAUAAAAAUUAAGAUAUCCAAAAUGUUUUCAGAGGUUUUUACCAUAGUAAAAAAAAAAUACAAACUUAAAUAACUAUUAUUCACCUAUGGUUUUCUCAAUGGCUACAUUUCAUAAUGUUAGGAC